RNAcentral lists this ribosomal RNA (497 nucleotides) under uncultured bacterium. Its description in RNAcentral is "partial 16S ribosomal RNA". It matches the Rfam family "Bacterial small subunit ribosomal RNA", at positions 28 to 507 of the family's 1533-position model. The record is from RNAcentral.
GAUGAACGCUGGCGGCGUGCCUAAUACAUGCAAGUCGAGCGAACGGACGAGCAUCUUCCUUCUCUGAUGUUAGCGGCGGACGGGUGAGUAACACGUAGAUAACCUACCUAUAUGACUGGGAUAACUUCGGGAAACCGGAGCUCAUACCGGAUAAUAUUUUCAACCGCAUGGAUCAAAAGUGAAAGACGGUCUUGCUGUCACUUAUAGAUGGAUCCGCGCUGCAUUAGCUAGUUGGUAAGGUAACGGCUUACCAAGGCAACGAUGCAUAGCCGACCUGAGAGGGUGAUCGGCCACACUGGAACUGAGACACGGUCCAGACUCCUACGGGAGACAGCAGUAGGGAAUCUUCGGCAAUGGGCGAAAGCCUGACGGAGCAACGCCGCGUGAGUGAUGAAGGUCUUCGGAUCGUAAAACUCUGUUAUUAGGGAAGAACAUAUGUGUAAGUAACUGUGCACAUCUUGACGGUACCUAAUCAGAAAGCCACGGCUAACUACGUG